GACGAACGCUGGCGGCGUGCUUAACACAUGCAAGUCGAACGGAAAGGCCCUGCUUUUGUGGGGUGCUCGAGUGGCGAACGGGUGAGUAACACGUGAGUAACCUGCCCUUGACUUUGGGAUAACUUCAGGAAACUGGGGCUAAUACCGGAUAGGAGCUCCUGCUCCAUGUUGGGGGUUGGAAAGUUUCGGCGGUUGUGGAUGGUCUCGCUGCUUAUCAGCUUGUUGGUGGGGUAGUGGCUUACCAAGGCUUUGACGGGUAGCCGGCCUGAGAGCGUGACCGGCGACAUUGGGACUGAGAUACGGCCCAGACUCCUACGGGAGGCAGCAGUGGGGAAUAUUGCACAAUGGGCGGAAGCCUGAUGCAGCAACGCCGCGUGCGGGAUGACGGCCUUCGGGGUGUAAACCGCUUUCGCCUGUGACGAAGCGUGAGUGACGGUAAUGGGUAAAGAAGCAACGGCUAACUACGUG
Molecule: ribosomal RNA, 468 nt
Filed under: uncultured bacterium
Lineage: Bacteria
Description: partial 16S ribosomal RNA
Rfam family: Bacterial small subunit ribosomal RNA
Source: RNAcentral